RNAcentral lists this ribosomal RNA (253 nucleotides) under uncultured bacterium. RNAcentral describes it as "partial 16S ribosomal RNA". It matches the Rfam family "Bacterial small subunit ribosomal RNA", at positions 524 to 776 of the family's 1533-position model. The record is from RNAcentral.
UACGUAGGGACCGAGCGUUGUCCGGAAUCAUUGGGCGUAAAGAGCUCGUAGGCGGCUUGUCGCGUCGAAUGUGAAAACCCACGGCUCAACUGUGGGCUUGCAUUCGAUACGGGCAGGCUCGAGUUCGGUAGGGGAGACUGGAAUUCCUGGUGUAGCGGUGAAAUGCGCAGAUAUCAGGAGGAACACCGGUGGCGAAGGCGGGUCUCUGGGCCGAUACUGACGCUGAGGAGCGAAAGCGUGGGGAGCGAACAGG